RNAcentral lists this ribosomal RNA (448 nucleotides) under uncultured bacterium. RNAcentral's name for it is "SSU rRNA". It matches the Rfam family "Bacterial small subunit ribosomal RNA", at positions 26 to 518 of the family's 1533-position model. The record is from RNAcentral.
AGAACGAACGCUGGCGGCAGGCUUAACACAUGCAAGUCGAACGCUCGUAGCAAUACGGGAGUGGCAGACGGGUGAGUAACACGUGGGAACGUACCCUUCGGUUCGGGAUAACACAGGGAAACUUGUGCUAAUACCGGAUACGUCCGAGAGGAGAAAGGUUUACCGCCGAAGGAUCGGCCCGCGUCUGAUUAGCUAGUUGGUGAGGUAACGGCUCACCAAGGCGACGAUCAGUAGCUGGUCUGAGAGGAUGAUCAGCCACAUUGGGACUGAGACACGGCCCAAACUCCUACGGGAGGCAGCAGUGGGGAAUAUUGGACAAUGGGCGCAAGCCUGAUCCAGCCAUGCCGCGUGGAUGAUGAAGGCCUUAGGGUUGUAAAGUCCUUUUAACGGGGAAGAUAAUGACGGUACCCGUAGAAUAAGCCCCGGCUAACUUCGUGCCAGCAGCCGC